Ribosomal RNA from Erwinia billingiae, 2908 nucleotides. It matches the Rfam family "Bacterial large subunit ribosomal RNA". NCBI's taxonomy places the organism in Bacteria, Pseudomonadati, Pseudomonadota, Gammaproteobacteria, Enterobacterales, Erwiniaceae. The record is from Rfam.
GGUUAAGUGACUAAGCGUACACGGUGGAUGCCUAGGCAGUCAGAGGCGAUGAAGGGCGUGCUAAUCUGCGAUAAGCGUCGGUAAGGUGAUAUGAACCGCAAUAACCGACGAUACCCGAAUGGGGAAACCCGGUGCACUUUGGUGCAUCAUUGCAACAUGAAUACAUAGUGUUGCAAGGCGAACCUGGGGAACUGAAACAUCUAAGUACCCAGAGGAAAAGAAAUCAACCGAGAUUCCCCCAGUAGCGGCGAGCGAACGGGGAACAGCCCAGAACCUGAAUCAGUUUGUGCAUUAGUGGAAGCGUCUGGAAAGUCGCAGGGUACAGGGUGAUACUCCCGUACACAAAAAUGCACUUGCUGUGAGUUCGAUGAGUAGGGCGGGACACGUGACAUCCUGUCUGAAUAUGGGGGGACCAUCCUCCAAGGCUAAAUACUCCUGACUGACCGAUAGUGAACCAGUACCGUGAGGGAAAGGCGAAAAGAACCCCGGCGAGGGGAGUGAAACAGAACCUGAAACCGUGUACGUACAAGCAGUGGGAGCACCUUCGUGGUGUGACUGCGUACCUUUUGUAUAAUGGGUCAGCGACUUAUAUUCUGUAGCAAGGUUAACCGUAUAGGGGAGCCGAAGGGAAACCGAGUCUUAACUGGGCGUUAAGUUGCAGGGUAUAGACCCGAAACCCGGUGAUCUAGCCAUGGGCAGGUUGAAGGUUGGGUAACACUAACUGGAGGACCGAACCGACUAAUGUUGAAAAAUUAGCGGAUGACUUGUGGCUGGGGGUGAAAGGCCAAUCAAACCGGGAGAUAGCUGGUUCUCCCCGAAAGCUAUUUAGGUAGCGCCUCGUGAACUCAUCUUCGGGGGUAGAGCACUGUUUCGGCUAGGGGGCCAUCCCGGCUUACCAACCCGAUGCAAACUGCGAAUACCGAAGAAUGUUAUCACGGGAGACACACGGCGGGUGCUAACGUCCGUCGUGAAGAGGGAAACAACCCAGACCGCCAGCUAAGGUCCCAAAGUCAUGGUUAAGUGGGAAACGAUGUGGGAAGGCACAGACAGCCAGGAUGUUGGCUUAGAAGCAGCCAUCAUUUAAAGAAAGCGUAAUAGCUCACUGGUCGAGUCGGCCUGCGCGGAAGAUGUAACGGGGCUAAACCAUGCACCGAAGCUGCGGCAGCGACGCUUAGGCGUUGUUGGGUAGGGGAGCGUUCUGUAAGCCGUCGAAGGUGGCCUGUGAGGGCUGCUGGAGGUAUCAGAAGUGCGAAUGCUGACAUAAGUAACGAUAAAGCGGGUGAAAAGCCCGCUCGCCGGAAGACCAAGGGUUCCUGUCCAACGUUAAUCGGGGCAGGGUGAGUCGACCCCUAAGGCGAGGCCGAAAGGCGUAGUCGAUGGGAAACAGGUUAAUAUUCCUGUACUCGGUGUUACUGCGAAGGGGGGACGGAGAAGGCUAUGUUAGCCGGGCGACGGUUGUCCCGGUUUAAGCAUGUAGGCGGAGAGUUUAGGUAAAUCCGGACUCUUUUUAACGCUGAGGUGUGAUGACGAGGCACUACGGUGCUGAAGUAACAAAUGCCCUGCUUCCAGGAAAAGCCUCUAAGCAUCAGGUAACACGGAAUCGUACCCCAAACCGACACAGGUGGUCAGGUAGAGAAUACCAAGGCGCUUGAGAGAACUCGGGUGAAGGAACUAGGCAAAAUGGUGCCGUAACUUCGGGAGAAGGCACGCUGGCGCGUAGGUGAAGGGACUUGCUCCCGGAGCUGAAGCCAGUCGAAGAUACCAGCUGGCUGCAACUGUUUAUUAAAAACACAGCACUGUGCAAACACGAAAGUGGACGUAUACGGUGUGACGCCUGCCCGGUGCCGGAAGGUUAAUUGAUGGGGUUAUCCGCAAGGAGAAGCUCUUGAUCGAAGCCCCGGUAAACGGCGGCCGUAACUAUAACGGUCCUAAGGUAGCGAAAUUCCUUGUCGGGUAAGUUCCGACCUGCACGAAUGGCGUAAUGAUGGCCAGGCUGUCUCCACCCGAGACUCAGUGAAAUUGAACUCGCUGUGAAGAUGCAGUGUACCCGCGGCAAGACGGAAAGACCCCGUGAACCUUUACUAUAGCUUGACACUGAAUAUUGAACCUUGAUGUGUAGGAUAGGUGGGAGGCUUUGAAGCGUGGACGCCAGUCUGCGUGGAGCCAACCUUGAAAUACCACCCUUUAACGUUUGAUGUUCUAACCUGGCGCCGUGAUCCGGCGUGGGGACAGUGUCUGGUGGGUAGUUUGACUGGGGCGGUCUCCUCCUAAAGAGUAACGGAGGAGCACGAAGGUUAGCUAAUCACGGUCGGACAUCGUGAGGUUAGUGCAAUGGCAUAAGCUAGCUUGACUGCGAGAGUGACGGCUCGAGCAGGUGCGAAAGCAGGUCAUAGUGAUCCGGUGGUUCUGAAUGGAAGGGCCAUCGCUCAACGGAUAAAAGGUACUCCGGGGAUAACAGGCUGAUACCGCCCAAGAGUUCAUAUCGACGGCGGUGUUUGGCACCUCGAUGUCGGCUCAUCACAUCCUGGGGCUGAAGUAGGUCCCAAGGGUACGGCUGUUCGCCGUUUAAAGUGGUACGCGAGCUGGGUUUAGAACGUCGUGAGACAGUUCGGUCCCUAUCUGCCGUGGGCGCUGGAAGAUUGAGAGGGGUUGCUCCUAGUACGAGAGGACCGGAGUGAACGCACCACUGGUGUUCGGGUUGUCAUGCCAAUGGCAUUGCCCGGUAGCUAAGUGCGGAAAAGAUAAGCGCUGAAAGCAUCUAAGCGCGAAACUUGCCUCGAGAUGAAUCUUCCCUGGGCCUUUAAGGCCCCUGAAGGGACGUUGAAGACUACGACGUUGAUAGGCCGGGUGUGUAAGCGCAGCGAUGCGUUGAGCUAACCGGUACUAAUGACCCGUGAGGCUUAACCUU